UACGGGGGGGGCAAGCGUUGUUCGGAAUUACUGGGCGUAAAGGGUUUGUAGGUGGCUUGUUAAGUCAGACGUGAAAUCCCUCAGCUUAACUGGGGAACUGCGUCUGAUACUGGCGAGCUUGAGUGCAGGAGAGGAACGCGGAAUUCCAGGUGUAGCGGUGAAAUGCGUAGAUAUCUGGAGGAACACCGGUGGCGAAGGCGGCGUUCUGGACUGCAACUGACACUGAGGAACGAAAGCCAGGGGAGCAAACGGG
Molecule: ribosomal RNA, 253 nt
Filed under: uncultured bacterium
Lineage: Bacteria
Description: partial 16S ribosomal RNA
Rfam family: Bacterial small subunit ribosomal RNA
Source: RNAcentral